AGAUUGAACGCUGGCGGCAUGCCUUACACAUGCAAGUCGAACGGUAGAGUAGCAAUACUCGAGAGUGGCGAACGGGUGAGUAAUAUAUCGGAACGUGCCCAGUCGUGGGGGAUAACGUAGAGAAAUUUACGCUAAUACCGCAUACGAUCUAAGGAUGAAAGCGGGGGACUCGCAAGAGCCUCGCGCGAUUGGAGCGGCUGAUAUCAGAUUAGGUGUUAGGUGUAGGGUAAAAUCGUCACCAACGACGGACGACGUCUCGUAAGUCGUGGUUUGAGAGGAACGACAGCCAACACUACGGGACUGGAACGACGACGGCCCAACGGACCUACCGUAACGGGACCGGACGGA
RNAcentral lists this ribosomal RNA (348 nucleotides) under uncultured soil bacterium. RNAcentral describes it as "bacterial SSU rRNA". It matches the Rfam family "Bacterial small subunit ribosomal RNA", at positions 26 to 300 of the family's 1533-position model. The record is from RNAcentral.